AAGGAGGAGAGAUCCCAUACAGAAGUUCACUUCUUGACAUGUUGAAGUGAGAGAAAUGUUGAAGGGGGUGACCCCAUAACUAUCUGACAAGACAAAGAGAGAGUGACAGUGAGUGAGGAAGAGAGAGUAAUGCAGGUAUGGAUUUGUAUUUCGUUGCAAGGCGGCAGCCCUAAGACAGAUUGCAGAGAGGUGGAGCAGGGCUGUUGCAAAACAAGAAUUUGAGUUGAGAGAAGAGAGAGAGUGGGGUUGCGUCGGUUGUUGGCUUUAGAGAGAGAAACUCACAGAGUUGUUGCAGCUAGUGAGCGAAAGUGCAGCUAGUGAGAGAGAACAAUGCUCAUGCAGCCAGAGGACCGAAUUUCAGAGAGCUGCACAAAGACCGCAUCAGUUGCAGCUUGAGAGAGUGUAGGACUUGUUGGAAAUGGGCAGUAUUCCUCCAUUCCAAUAGUCUCCUCGUUUUCGCCCUUGAGAUAGUUUCCAUUUUGGCCUGCUUGAUUUCGAGAGAUAGAGAGUAAAGGACACGAGAGAAGAAAAAACAGCUAAACAGAGAUUUAUUUCUAGAGGCAUAAUGUAAUGCAACACAGGAGCAGUGCAAUUGAUUGGGGCUCUUGGGUACAAAUGAUUGGAGCAUUUAUAGGGAGGAAAGGUAGGGAUUGAGAAGGUCUAGAGGCACCAAAGAGAGAGAAGAAAAAUUGAGAGACUUUGGUUUGGGUCAAAAACGAAAAGAGUUUGGUCUUGAGUAGGGUAUUCUAAGUGUUUGACAAAAGCUUCAGGUGAUGGCUGCUUUUGGCUGAUUACUAUAGGUAUAAGGCUACUAAAAACUAACCAAUUGUUUGAGAGUUCGCCUAUGAGAAAACUCCUUUUCAUAAACAUUCGAGUGAAUUUUCAAUACAUACGGGGGAGAGAGGAGUGAUGGAUGGAGGAAGAAGAAGUUAAGGAUGGAGUAAAGCGUCAUUCGUAUGCUCAAAUUUUUCGCUCUUCUACUAGGUUUGAUCAUCGUGUUGAUUCGGUUAUUGUGGUGGGUGAGUCCAACGUAUCAAAUCUAGUGUUGUCAUAUCUUUUCUCUCUAAAGGUACAAACGUUGCGGCUUUUCAGAGAUGGGCAGACAAAUCAUGGACUUCAAUGGGUAGACAAAUCAUGGACUUCAACUGUAAUAAUUCUAAAAAAAAAAAUUUUAAAAAAAAGUAAAAAAUAAAAAAAAUAAAAAAUAAAAAUAAAAAAGAAAGAAAGAAACUCUUAAUAAGUGAUGGUCUAUAUGAGCAUGAUGGUCCUUAAGGACCAUCACUGUUUUCAAAAUCUUUUGGUUAAGUUUCUUUUGUUUGCUCCUGCCUUGCCACGUCAAGUGGACGUGGGCUUUAAGCAUAUAAGGGGUAUUGUAAGGGUUACACCUCGUUUAUGAGGUGUCACUUAAUAAAAUAUUAUAAUAAGGUGUCGUAAGAGUUUAAAUAUGGGAGACGAGGACUCCCACCCUAGAAAACUUUUGAAAUCUUUCCCUUUCUGGUCGAAACACAGUGAGCUCCUCUCCCUAACCAAAUUUUUAUCGGAAGCUUCCUCUCAAAUAUUUUAGGUAAGUGACAUCGUCUUCCUGAAAAAUAGUCUAUUUCUAAUAAAUAAUGAUAUUUUCGUCUAGGAUCUUUAUUUUAUCAGUUUUAUGUAUAAGUGACCUCAUUGUCUCGAAAAAUAAUCCAUUUUUUUUAAAAAUAAAAUGAAAUAGUUAUUUCUGCUUAUUAUCAUGAAUUUUAGACGCGAUAAAUUUUAUGCGCACGUGACCUCAUUAUAUUGAAAAAUAAUCUUUUUAAUAAAAAUUGUGAUAUUUUAUCUAUGUUAGAAAUUUUGAAUGCUAUAAAUUAGAAAAAUAAAAUUAUUUAUUUGUCUUGUCUAUUGUUAGAAAUAAAUGUGAUAUUUCUUCUUUUAGUAAAAUUGUGAUAUUUUUUUCUACUGUUUUGAAUAUUUAGACAUUGAAAAAUUCAUGUGCAAAUGACUGCCUUAUUAUUUAAAAAUUGACAUUUUUGUAAUUGAUUAUAGUAUUGUUGUGAAAUGUUUAUUUGUGGAUUGAUAUCCCAUAAAUUGUGAUAAUUCCGUAUUCUUGAAUUUUUAUAAGAGUUUUUCUAUACAUAUUAAAUUGGAAAUUAUGCUAGAAUGCCUUUACAAACUGCUACCUUUCUAAAUUUGAGCCCAAAAUAUUUGAUUGGUUAUUUUUGAAAUGUUAUAGAGAGUGACUGUUAUUAAUGGUUUAAGUGAAAUUCAUAUUAAUGGUUUCAGUGAUAUGUUGAGUACAUGAUAUUGCUGCUUUCGAAUGUUUAAAGAGAUUUAGAAAUAAUUUAAGUAUGCAAGUGGACUUAUCCGGUUCGCCGGUGAGGUAAAAGUGGACCUAUCUGGGACGACGGUAGGGAUUAAGUGGACUCAUCCGGUACGCCGGUGAGGUAUAAGUGGACCUGCAGGGAUUAAGUGGACCUAUCUGGGACGCCGAUAGGGAUUAAGUGGACCCAUCAGGACGCUGAUGGGGCAUAUAGGUGACAUACUUGGGACGCCAGUAGGGUAUUUUGUGAAAUCCUUUGAAUUAUGCACUACUGUUAAAGUGUUAUAUGCGUUUCAAUUAUUCAGAUUAUACUUAAUUAUGCAUUUAUUGAAAGUGAAAUUGUUGAUGCAUUUCUGUUAAUAUAUCUCCUUUUGGAAAAUAUUGAUAUCUUUCAACCAUGAUUAUUUUUAGGAUUAUGAUGAUCACUUACUGAGUAGCCAAACUCAUCAAACUAUGGUAAACAUUUUUCAGGAUAACUGCGGCUUCAUUUUGAGUACUCGUCAAGGGCAACUUUGGAAGAUAUUGUAGUUGUGUCUAAGCUUUUUUUUUGUUACUUUGUAAGAAUUCGUCAGUGUAAAUUUGUCCUAUUAAGAGUGUACAUAUGUUUUGAUUGUCACAUCUCAGGAAUAUCAGUAUUGUAAAUUCUUGGGGUGUGACAUCAAACCCUAGCCAAUGCAGAAGUACCCCUGGAAAUAAAGCUAUAUGUUUUCUUGAAUCGACCAAUGAAGUAGCCAAGGUGAUAAAAUUUGUAUAUUUCGAGGAGU
This 3060-nucleotide long non-coding RNA is filed under the name Amborella trichopoda. RNAcentral describes it as "long non-coding RNA (ATRI_LNC004487)". Lineage: Eukaryota; Viridiplantae; Streptophyta; Magnoliopsida; Amborellales; Amborellaceae. The record is from RNAcentral.